Molecule: ribosomal RNA, 726 nt
Filed under: uncultured bacterium
Lineage: Bacteria
Description: bacterial SSU rRNA
Rfam family: Bacterial small subunit ribosomal RNA
Source: RNAcentral
UAACACGUAGGGAACCUGCCCACGCACCGGGAAUACGCUCUGGAAACGGAGAACAAAUCCCGAUGUACAGGAAGGAGGCAUCUUCUUUCUGUGAAACAUCCUUUAGGGGAUGGGGCGCGGAUGGACCUGCGGUGCAUUAGUUGGUUGGCGGGGUAAAGGCCCACCAAGACGAUGAUGCAUAGCCGGCCUGAGAGGACGGACGGCCACAUUGGGACUGAGACACGGCCCAGACUCCUGCGGGAGGCAGCAGUAGGGAAUUUUCGUCAAUGGGCGCAAGCCUGAACGAGCGAUGCCGCGUGAGUGAAGAAGGCCUUCGGGUCGUAAAGCUCUGUUGCGGGGGAAAAAAGGCAGCAUCAGGAAAUGGGUGCUGACUGAUGGUGCCCCGCCAGAAAGUCACGGCUAACUACGUGCCAGCAGCCGCGGUAAUACGUAGGUGGCGAGCGUUAUCCGGAAUGAUUGGGCGUAAAGGGUGCGCAGGCGGUCCUGCAAGUCUGGAGUGAAACGCAUGAGCUCAACUCAUGCAUGGCUUUGGAAACUGGAGGACUGGAGAGCAGGAGAGGGCGGUGGAACUCCAUGUGUAGCGGUAAAAUGCGUAGAUAUAUGGAAGAACACCAGUGGCGAAGGCGGCCGCCUGGCCUGUUGCUGACGCUGAGGCACGAAAGCGUGGGGAGCAAAUAGGAUUAGAUACCCUAGUAGUCCACGCCGUAAACGAUGAGGACCAAGUGU